RNAcentral lists this unclassified non-coding RNA (276 nucleotides) under uncultured fungus. Its description in RNAcentral is "partial contains small subunit ribosomal RNA, internal transcribed spacer 1, and 5.8S ribosomal RNA". The stretch from base 1 to 73 matches the Rfam family "Eukaryotic small subunit ribosomal RNA", at positions 1759 to 1831 of the family's 1831-position model. Lineage: Eukaryota; Fungi. The record is from RNAcentral.
GCAAACUUGGUCAUUUAGAGGAAGUAAAAGUCGUAACAAGGUUUCCGUAGGUGAACCUGCGGAAGGAUCAUUAUCGAGAGUGCCCCCAUUCGGGGGUGACCUUCAGCCCUGUGUCUACAGAUGACCUUCUUGUUGCUUUGGCGGGCUCGCGCCCGCCAGAGGACCCAUUUUCAACUCGUUUUGAAUCAACCAGUCUCUGAAACAUAACCCAAUCAAAAUAUAAACAAAACUUUCAACAACGGAUCUCUUGGUUCUGGCAUCGAUGAAGAACGCAGC